GAAGAGAUAAGUGCUGAAAGCAUCUAAGCACGAAACUUGCCUCAAGAUGAGUUCUCCCCGACUAUAAGUCGGUAAGGGUUGUUGGAGACUACGACGUAGAUAGGUCUGGUGUGUAAGUGGUGUGAGCCAUUGAGCUAACAGAUACUAAUUGCCCGAGAGGCUUAACUAUACAACGCUCAAG
Molecule: ribosomal RNA, 181 nt
Filed under: Actinobacillus suis
Lineage: Bacteria; Pseudomonadati; Pseudomonadota; Gammaproteobacteria; Pasteurellales; Pasteurellaceae
Description: partial 23S ribosomal RNA
Rfam family: Bacterial large subunit ribosomal RNA
Source: RNAcentral